UACGGAGGGUGCAAGCGUUAUCCGGAUUCACUGGGUUUAAAGGGUGCGUAGGUGGGUUGGUAAGUCCGUGGUGAAAUCUCCGAGCUUAACUCGGAAUCUGCCGUGGAUACUAUCAAUCUUGAAUACUGUGGAGGUAAGCGGAAUAUGUCAUGUAGCGGUGAAAUGCUUAGAUAUGACAUAGAACACCGAUAGCGAAGGCAGCUUGCUACACAGUCAUUGACACUGAGGCACGAAAGCGUGGGGAGCAAACAGG
This 253-nucleotide ribosomal RNA is filed under the name uncultured bacterium. RNAcentral describes it as "partial 16S ribosomal RNA". It matches the Rfam family "Bacterial small subunit ribosomal RNA", at positions 524 to 776 of the family's 1533-position model. The record is from RNAcentral.